RNAcentral lists this long non-coding RNA (984 nucleotides) under Equus asinus (donkey). RNAcentral describes it as "lncRNA (ENSEASG00005025982.1)". Lineage: Eukaryota; Metazoa; Chordata; Mammalia; Perissodactyla; Equidae. The record is from RNAcentral.
UUACCAUUCUCGGUGCCAGGAUGAAGGAGACAGUGGACAGUCCUCGGCCUUCUGGAGCUGACGUUCUCGAGACUGUGUGGUCUGGCUGCACCAGUAGCUUGCAAGUAAGAUGAAAAGUUUUACGCAGAAUGAGCCAUCCAGGGCUGAACUGGCAGCUCCUCAGCUCUCCUCUCCACUGUCGCUAGAGUGCAGCUCCCUCCUCAGGAUGAUCUCGUGAUUGCAACACGACUGAAGCAGCCCUGGGUGGGUCUUCAGCGUGUCUUCACUCCAGGCAGAUUAGCCCUGAGCUAACAUCCACUGCCAAUCCUCCUCUUUUUGCUGAGGAAGACUGGCCCUGAGCUAACAUCCAUGCCCAUCUUCCUCUACUUUAUAUGUGGGAUGCCUACCACAGCAGGGCUUGCCAAGUAGUGCCAUGUCCAACCCGGGAUCCAAACCUGCAAACCCCUGGCCACCAAAGCGGAACGUUUUCACUUAACUGCUUCGCCACCUGGCCGGCCCUGUCAUGUGCUCUUGAGAGCGGUUGAUGAGUCUUGCUCUGCACCACGGUGGAUUGAAGUGAGACGUUAAGACCUUCCGAAAUGAACUCUUUACUGAGACAAUGAAUUUGCUGUAAAUUUUUCAGAGGAGACAUACAGCAUUUUGGAAAGCUUGGAAUCAAUUACACUAAAGGAUCGAUCCAAGUUGCAGAACAUAGGAAAAUUUCAGCGAUCCCAAGAUCAUAAUGCCUUGCACACCUAAGUAUGGUUUGGCGAAUCAACUGUUCAGUGCUAACCUGCAUGGGGUAAUUCGCCUCUAUGGAAUGGGUGUUUCAAAGAGACAAACACAAAGGUUUUCCCAACUCCUUUCAGUGGCCACAGUUCUUAAAUGUGAAUGGCACGUGUCAAAGAAAUGAACACUAAUAUGAUUAGUGCCAGUAAUUGCCAAUUCUAUAACUAAAUCCAUGUUCUAGACCCCUGCUCUCAUCUUAGAAAUAAAAAUUGCCAC